GACAGAGGGUGCAAACGUUGUUCGGAAUUACUGGGCGUAAAGCGCGUGUAGGCGGCCAUCUAAGUCGGGCGUGAAAUCCCACGGCUCAACCGUGGAAGUGCACUCGAAACUGGAUGGCUAGAGUCCUGGAGAGGAAGGUGGAAUGCUUGGUGUAGAGGUGAAAUUCGUAGAUAUCAAGCGGAACACCGGUGGCGAAGGCGGCCUUCUCGGACAGUGACGUGACGCUGAGACGCGAAAGCGUGGGGA
RNAcentral lists this ribosomal RNA (246 nucleotides) under uncultured bacterium. Its description in RNAcentral is "partial 16S ribosomal RNA". It matches the Rfam family "Bacterial small subunit ribosomal RNA", at positions 524 to 767 of the family's 1533-position model. The record is from RNAcentral.